RNAcentral lists this ribosomal RNA (204 nucleotides) under Bacillus subtilis. RNAcentral's name for it is "partial 16S ribosomal RNA". It matches the Rfam family "Bacterial small subunit ribosomal RNA", at positions 329 to 524 of the family's 1533-position model. Lineage: Bacteria; Bacillati; Bacillota; Bacilli; Caryophanales; Bacillaceae. The record is from RNAcentral.
CACGGGGGGCCUACGGGAGGCAGCAGUAGGGAAUCUUCCGCAAUGGACGAAAGUCUGACGGAGCAACGCCGCGUGAGUGAUGAAGGUUUUCGGAUCGUAAAGCUCUGUUGUUAGGGAAGAACAAGUGCCGUUCAAAUAGGGCGGCACCUUGACGGUACCUAACCAGAAAGCCACGGCUAACUACGUGCCAGCAGCCGCGGUAAU